This 497-nucleotide ribosomal RNA is filed under the name uncultured bacterium. Its description in RNAcentral is "partial 16S ribosomal RNA". It matches the Rfam family "Bacterial small subunit ribosomal RNA", at positions 28 to 507 of the family's 1533-position model. The record is from RNAcentral.
GAUGAACGCUGGCGGCGUGCCUAAUACAUGCAAGUCGAGCGAACAGACGAGGAGCUUGCUCCUCUGACGUUAGCGGCGGACGGGUGAGUAACACGUGGAUAACCUACCUAUAAGACUGGGAUAACUUCGGGAAACCGGAGCUAAUACCGGAUAAUAUAUUGAACCGCAUGGUUCAAUAGUGAAAGACGGUUUUGCUGUCACUUAUAGAUGGAUCCGCGCCGCAUUAGCUAGUUGGUAAGGUAACGGCUUACCAAGGCAACGAUGCGUAGCCGACCUGAGAGGGUGAUCGGCCACACUGGAACUGAGACACGGUCCAGACUCCUACGGGAGGCAGCAGUAGGGAAUCUUCCGCAAUGGGCGAAAGCCUGACGGAGCAACGCCGCGUGAGUGAUGAAGGUCUUCGGAUCGUAAAACUCUGUUAUUAGGGAAGAACAAAUGUGUAAGUAACUAUGCACGUCUCGACGGUACCUAAUCAGAAAGCCACGGCUAGCUACGUG